RNAcentral lists this ribosomal RNA (429 nucleotides) under Bacteroidota bacterium. RNAcentral's name for it is "Bacteroidetes bacterium partial 16S ribosomal RNA". It matches the Rfam family "Bacterial small subunit ribosomal RNA", at positions 355 to 776 of the family's 1533-position model. The record is from RNAcentral. Lineage: Bacteria; Pseudomonadati; Bacteroidota.
UAGGGAAUCUUCCGCAAUGGACGCAAGUCUGACGGAGCAACGCCGCGUGAGUGAAGAAGGAUUUCGGUUCGUAAAACUCUGUUGUUAGAGAAGAACAGCGCAUAGAGUAACUGUUAUGCGUGUGACGGUAUCUAACCAGAAAGCCACGACUAACUACUUGCCAGCAGCCGCGGUAAUACGUAGGUGGCAAGCGUUGUCCGGAUUUAUUGGGCGUUAAGCGAGCGCAGGCGGUCAAUUAAGUCUGAUGUAAAAGCCCCCGGCUCAACCGGGGAGGAGCAUUGAAAACUAGUUGACUUGAGUGCAGAAGAGGAGAGUGGAAUUCCAUGUGUAGCGGUGAAAUGCGUAGAUAUAUGGAGGAACACCAGUGGCGAAGGCGACUCUCUGGUCUGUAACUGACGCUGAGGUUCGAAAGCGUGGGUAGCAAACAGG